ACAACACCCUCUGCGGUACUACUAAUAGAAACAGAGUAGCAAAGUGAAGUCAGUCUCGGUUUGCCCUCUGCAGCACGCUUUCCCCAGCAGACACUUGAAGAUGAGGAAUGGGAUGAACAUUCAGUUGGUGCCUCUGAAACCCUUAUAGCCACACAGAUCUUAACUGAUCUCUGGCCCAACCUGCUGCCCCUGAAAUGAUAUUUACAGGGAAUUGCAAGGCACACAGGAGUCCGUGGGAUCACAACUUGGAGCACAAGUCUUGAGCACACAGCUGGGAGAGUCACAGAAGGAUGCUUCACAGUAGGAGUCUUGGCAAUGGUCCAGAAGCCAGAGAUUGCCUUGGUAGCUGCUGGAAAAACGCCUCCUUUUCCUAUCAAACUCGUUGUCACACACCAGGAAGAGAUUCCAGCAGAGUGCAUUGUGUCCAAACUUCACUCAUUUGCUGCUACAUCGAAAGCACAAGCAGGCUGGGACUUGCAAAGUGACUUUAGAAACACCAAGGAUCCAGAGAACAGAUGCCUAUGGAAAUGUGCUUUGUUGGACUGUAGAAAUGGCGUUCUGUGUUUAGCAGACAUUCCAAAGUACUUCCUCAAUAAAUGAUGCUGAAUGAGAAUUUUGGGGAUUCAAUUUUAAACAAAAGUAUCAAAUGUUUUAUCAAUGUACUUUCAGGCUCUGAGGCGCUGGGGUUUUGUUUUGUUUUUUAUUAUAUGGUUGUUGUUCUUUCUGUUCAAGCCCUAGUCUUUUCUUCUUUUUCAAUAUACAUAUCUUUUGUCAUGGGUGUUGUUUAGAGUGUUUAGAGAUCUUUUACUUCCUGUAUUCUUCCAUAAGGAAUUCAGCAAGAAAAGAUAGGAUGUUUUCUUCAUACUCAGAUUUCUGCCAGUAUGAUGCUUUGAGGAAUUUCCUUGUUUCCUGUGCUUCAAAGCCGUGUUUCAUUCUCAUGAUAAGGAAAGUGAUGGAGAAGGGAUUUCUCUAUAGUAAACGAGACAGCAGGUUUGCUUUAACAUAUAGCCUGUUCACCCUGCAGUUAGUGAGGUUCUGGAAUGAAUCAAGAGGUCUGUGUUACAGGUGUUUCUUGAAAGCCAUCAUCACCACCCCAGAGAACUGAAGGCACCUAGUGCUUCUCAACCCAUAAUAAUUUCAUACGGAAAAUGUAAAACAUUUUUCUAUUGCUAUGAACAAUGAUGGCUGAGUUGCAGUUUGUGUGUGUUUGUAACACUUUCUUGUAUGCUCUUUUUUUCCCACUGUGGAACUGGGUCUGACAGUAGAGCAAUUUCCCUGGGAUGUAUACAGGCAUGUUUGAUAGAAUAUGUGACAGCCAGAGGGAUGUCUUGGGGUAGAGGUAAUAAAAUAUAGUUUUGCGGUCU
RNAcentral lists this long non-coding RNA (1364 nucleotides) under Mus musculus (house mouse). RNAcentral's name for it is "predicted gene, 49688". The record is from RNAcentral. Lineage: Eukaryota; Metazoa; Chordata; Mammalia; Rodentia; Muridae.